UCUUCCAAUGUUUCAUUCAAUUUCAAUCGUUCAUUCCUAAUUGAUUUGAUUUAUUUAAUUCAUUUAUCAUUACUUGGUCAGAGUCAAUUCAAAAUUCACAGUAAAGUAAAGGCGACUAGAUGUAUUACAGUAAUAAAAAAACAAAAAAAAAUCUUAGUUAGGCUAAUUUGGUUUUUGUGACAGCAGAAAACUUUUUGCACCAUUGUUUUCAGGUCUCAAGUUGCAUUAUCUGUUGAGGAAGAGUUCUCAGCGUUGCAUCCUAUGUUGAUCGGCCCUACAUAGCCUAAAACAGGUCGAGACAAAAAAGAAUUAAAACAACAGAUUAAAUUGAUUUAAGAAGUAAUAUAAUGCAAAAGAAGAAUAAAGAAGACACGAGAAAAAGGAAAAUCCCUCAAGUGUAUUGUAAAAAUAUCUAAUACGCAUUGCAAGAUUUGACUAUGAAGUGAUUCAAUGUUGAGUGAAAGAGGUAGCCUAUCAUGUAACUACUAGCCACUUAACAAGGCCUACAAACAAGUUUUAGUUACAUACGAAUUUAUGACUUUUCUAAUUAGUUACUAGCUUAUGUGAUAAGAUUUAUAGAUAUAAAAAUUGCAAGAGUAGAAAUGUUAACUCGCUUCAAAAAAUAUCCUCUUAAGUGUCCAAUAUGUGUGCAAAGUUGUUCAACUCCAUCCGCAAUGAAGGCUCAUAUAUUGUAUCACACGGGAGAGCGUCCCUUUAAAUGUUUGGCAUGUGGGAAAACUUUUUUCCAAAAACACCAUGUAAAAAGACAUUUGUUGAUCCAUUUUGCGAUAUAUAAUUAUAAGUGCCCAACAUGCGAAAAAUCCUUUGCAUCAAAAUACUAUAUGAAGAGACACACACUAGUUCAUACAGGAAUGAGACCUUACAAGUGCUGUACAUGUGGAAAAUCCUUUAAAACCAAAGGCAAUAUGAAGAUACAUUCAUUGUUUCAUACAGA
Macrosteles quadrilineatus (aster leafhopper) is the source of this 955-nucleotide long non-coding RNA. RefSeq lists it as uncharacterized. The record is from RefSeq and is a predicted model, not a curated record. Lineage: Eukaryota; Metazoa; Arthropoda; Insecta; Hemiptera; Cicadellidae. The transcript has 3 exons.